CCUACGGGAGGCAGCAGUGGGGAAUAUUGGACAAUGGGCGAAAGCCUGAUCCAGCCAUGCCGCGUGUGUGAAGAAGGCCUUUUGGUUGUAAAGCACUUUAAGCGAGGAGGAGGCUACUUAGAUUAAUACUCUAGGAUAGUGGACGUUACUCGCAAAAUAAGCACCGGCUAACUCUGUGCCAGCAGCCGCGGUAAU
RNAcentral lists this ribosomal RNA (195 nucleotides) under uncultured bacterium. RNAcentral describes it as "partial 16S ribosomal RNA". It matches the Rfam family "Bacterial small subunit ribosomal RNA", at positions 338 to 524 of the family's 1533-position model. The record is from RNAcentral.